UACGUAGGCAGCGAGCGUUGUUCGGAAUUACUGGGCGUAAAGCGCACGUAGGCGGCUUUGUAAGUUAGAGGUGAAAGCCUGGAGCUCAACUCCAGAAUUGCCUUUAAGACUGCAUCGCUUGAAUCCAGGAGAGGUGAGUGGAAUUCCGAGUGUAGAGGUGAAAUUCGUAGAUAUUCGGAAGAACACCAGUGGCGAAGGCGGCUCACUGGUCCGGUACUGACGCUGAGGUGCGAAAGCGUGGGGAGCAAACAGG
Molecule: ribosomal RNA, 253 nt
Filed under: uncultured bacterium
Lineage: Bacteria
Description: partial 16S ribosomal RNA
Rfam family: Bacterial small subunit ribosomal RNA
Source: RNAcentral